Molecule: long non-coding RNA, 545 nt
Filed under: Carica papaya (papaya)
Lineage: Eukaryota; Viridiplantae; Streptophyta; Magnoliopsida; Brassicales; Caricaceae
Description: long non-coding RNA (CPAP_LNC001014)
Source: RNAcentral
CCACAUUUUUUUUUCCUCCAACCUGGAGUUUUCUUAUUUCUGUUCAGAAAAAAGGUUGAAAAGAAAACAGACCUAACAUCUGACUCCCUCGCGCCUAACCUCGCCGACAUUCACAGUGGGAGCCGAUCAAUUUAAGGCUGCGCCUGAGGAGUAAACUCAGGAACAAACAGCGAACCGUUGCCUUUAGCCGGUCAGCUGUGCGUGACUGCGAGCAAAAGCGGCUGCAGAGCACGCUCAAGUCCUCAACUUCAAGGUAGUUUAUUUUUCUGUCUUUUAUAUCUCCUUUGUUGUUGUCCUUGAUGCGCAAUCAUAUUUGCUUGAGAUUCCACUUCCAUGUCCCUAAGUAUUCUGUUGACUUUCAGGCUAAGUGUUCGAGAUUAUGCAAUUUGAAAGUUCUAGAGAUUAAGUUUUGAUGCUUAUUCUAUCUUUUUUUUGUUGCAGAUUUCUAUAUCUAUAGACUUUAAUACUGACCCUUGAGGUCUUGGUAUUGAAUAAUAGCAACCAAUGGGUUCUGUCGAUUAUGUUUAAUGCUAUGCAGCAAAUAU